Molecule: ribosomal RNA, 253 nt
Filed under: uncultured bacterium
Lineage: Bacteria
Description: partial 16S ribosomal RNA
Rfam family: Bacterial small subunit ribosomal RNA
Source: RNAcentral
UACGGAGGGUGCGAGCGUUGUUCGGAAUUACUGGGCGUAAAGGGCGCGUAGGCGGCCUUCUAAGUCGAACGUGAAAUCCCUGGGCUCAACCCAGGAACUGCGUCCGAUACUGGAAGGCUUGAAUCCGGGAGAGGGAUGCGGAAUUCCAGGUGUAGCGGUGAAAUGCGUAGAUAUCUGGAGGAACACCGGUGGCGAAGGCGGCAUCCUGGACCGGUAUUGACGCUGAGGCGCGAAAGCCAGGGGAGCAAACGGG